GAAUGUGAGAGCGAUCUGGUUGUGACAUCUGUCACUUCAUUUAUCGCCAGGGUUGAUUUGGCUGAUCUGGUUGGCUAGGCUGGUGUCCCCUUUCUCCCUCACUGCUCCAUAUGUGUCCCUUCCAAAGCUGUGAGCUCUCGGAUAGAGGAAAGGACGUUCUUUGGUCAAGGGUAUACAAGUAGGUGUGUUCCCCUGCUAGAACCUUCAAACAAGCUCUCAAAAACUACAGCGUUUUUGUGCCUCCAAUACUCUAGCUCCACAGACAACCCUAUAUAAGGCUAUAUUUUCCAGU
Non-coding RNA from Pteropus alecto (black flying fox), 292 nucleotides. The record is from Rfam. NCBI's taxonomy places the organism in Eukaryota, Metazoa, Chordata, Mammalia, Chiroptera, Pteropodidae.